AUUUCUUGAUCUCUCUCGGCUUCGGUUUCGGUUUCUUGGAACCCUCCGCUCCUUUCUUCUCGAUUCAAUCCGCACACGUUGUUCUUGAAUCCUUCCACCGAUUUCUGUACUGGUAGGCGAUCGAUCGAUUCCGCGCACUUUUUGAAUGUCGAUUUGAGCGGGUGCACCCUGGAGGACGGUUUCUUGGGUUCUGAUAUGGAGCAGAGGACGGGGGGGAGACCGGAGUUACCUUCGAUGAAUUCCCUUAUUGCCUUAGGAUCAUACCAGGUGGACCCAUUUGAUCCUUUAAUAGAGGAAUCUCAACUGCAAACUGCCAAUCAGAACAUGAUAUUGUCCAUACUGUAUAGCCUCAGCUCCUUUAUUAUCAUAUCUGGUAGUUCUUUUCUUCGGUCUCCCUCGUCUUCGGUUCCAAGAACCUCAGAAAUAGUUAUCAUAUCUAGCAGUUCUUCCAUGCGCCAACCUAGAGGCUACUUUAUAUGUUUGCCAUACUAGAAGAUCAACUAUUCAUGUGGCUGAAUGAGAGAGUUAUUCUGAACCCAUUCCUCUGAGUGAUUAAUCUUGACGUGGAUUAUGAGGGUUAAAAUGACCUUCCAAUUUUGAGCACAGGAGAGCAGGGAAUCAAUAUUAAGGAAGCUUUUGUCAAAAGAAAAGGUUGAAGGACUCUACUACAAGGAGCUUGCAGCAAUCACAGACGGAUAUACUGGUAGUGAUCUUAAGAAUCUCUGCAUUACAGCAGCAUAUCGUCCUGUUAAGGAGCUGAUUCAGAAAGAGAGAGAACAAAGGAAUUGGUAAGUCUGUACAUCUUCAAAAUUUAUGUUCUGGAUUUGACUUAACAGAUUUGACACGCUGUUAAUCUUGCAUAUUUUCUUCAUAGCCUACAGCAGAAUUUCAAUAAGUCUUUUUAUAUACAUUUUAUUUUCCUGAGUUUUUAUUAUGUAUAAAUUAAAGUAUAGAUCACACAUAUACCUUUAUGAUUUUCUCCGAGAACAAAAAAACUCAAAUGUUUUCUUCUAACUUAAUUUUCUUUAUCUAUACACCUUAGGUCAUUACCAAUCAUAGAUAAUACAAUAUCGACUGACACGUGAUCGUGGAAUUCGUCACUUUCCACUCAUCUGUCUUACGUGGAUAAAGAUUUAGACAAACACAAACUUUUUUCUUAUCCAUGAUAAGGAAAGUAAUUACAAGUUUCCUUCUCAUUCAUUAUGAUAAGAAAUGUAAUAUAACGAGGAAGACAAUCACAAAAGAUAUUUUAAAUCUAAUGCAAGAGAUUCCUUUUUGAACUACUCAAACUCACAUUUGAUGACCUUUGAUUACUAACUUGAUUUCAAUUUUGGUAAAAAAAAAUCUUUUUGAUUUUAGUCUUCGUGCAAGUAACACCUUCAAAGCUUUACGUUUUCACUUCGGAGGCACUUCGGACAACCUUAUAUGGGUUUGAACCGAGCUAAUCAAAAUGUCAACGAUAUUUUCUUGUAAUAACUAAUGUUUCCCGAAUUUUCUACACAUAAAAUCAGUAAAAAGUUACAUUUUUGCCUAAUUUUUUAAAACAAAAACCAGGAUUUGAAUUAUUUUACUAAUGUGAAAUUUGAUAUAAUCCAUUUUUAUAUAAAAGUAAGUGUACCUUAUGCCACUGUAAAAUUUAUGCCCGAGUUGCAUUGGUCGGUGCCCAUGCUGGCUGACUUCCAAUUGUAGCAAUAGCUGAUUACUUGCUCAUGAACUCUUUCAAAGUUAACUGUAAUGGUUUCGGGAGGAGUAUAAAACUGAAAAAGGUGAGAAAUUUUCAGUGGAUUCGGAAAAAGGUGAGUAUAUAACCUGCAAUUGCCCUUAGGACAUUAAACAUGGAAGACUUGAAGCAAGCAGAUAAUCAGGUGAGUUUAUGCUUUUGUUGCAUUCUAGAAAUCUUCAUUUUAAGCAUAUCUGCAUUUUAAAAUUGCACGUUCAACAUAUUGAAGUGUUAAGUAUUGCUUAUCAAUCAAUCAUGGUUGUUUGUUAACCUGUUCUAGAUGGAUGACAAUUUGAUCCAAAAAUGAAACUUGAUCAGACAGACUGGACAAUGUCAAUAGUAUUAUGGUUGAUAUGUUUAUAAUUCUAGUUUCAAACUUGUAUAUUGCAGCUUAGUUUUCUCACGAGUGUUGCAUAGAAUAAGGGGCAUUGUUCUACAUGUGGGGUUAUUGUUAGUGCUGCCAAAUACAACUUUGUGUCAAUUUUGCUUGGGGAAAAAAUUGUGCGCCAUCCUUAUAGAGUGAGAUAAGCUUUAGUCUGAUGUCAAAGAUAUUCAUGCGAAGCAUGCUUGCCUGGAUUUGUGCGUGGAGUAAGUUGCGACGCUUGUCUGGAUUUAUAGAGUUCACCUUUUCUUUUUAUUUUUUGACUAUGUCAUUCUUGAUACAGAUUUAAAGCAUCUCAAUUGCGUAGAGUCAGUUUCUAUAUCCUUUUAAUUGCUUUCUUCUGGUGAAUUUUGUUGGUGACUUAGUCUAGUGAUGUUUCGAGUUACAAUUGGUAUGGUUUGUCCAUCAAACACUAUAUAGAAGUGGCUGCUGUUUAUGCCUGGAAUUUGAUAUGAUGUUUGGAUGGCAUUUUCUUAUUCUUUACG
This is a long non-coding RNA of Musa acuminata AAA Group (dessert banana), 2587 nucleotides long. RefSeq lists it as uncharacterized. NCBI's taxonomy places the organism in Eukaryota, Viridiplantae, Streptophyta, Magnoliopsida, Zingiberales, Musaceae. The transcript has 5 exons. The record is from RefSeq and is a predicted model, not a curated record.